This 346-nucleotide unclassified non-coding RNA is filed under the name soil metagenome. Its description in RNAcentral is "partial contains 5.8S ribosomal RNA, internal transcribed spacer 2, and large subunit ribosomal RNA". The stretch from base 1 to 121 matches the Rfam family "5.8S ribosomal RNA", at positions 35 to 154 of the family's 154-position model. The record is from RNAcentral.
GAUGAAGAACGUAGCGAAAUGCGAUAAGUAAUGCGAAUUGCAGAAUUUCCGUGAGUCAUCGAAUCUUUGAACGCACAUUGCGCCCACUGGUAUUCCGGUGGGCAUGCCUGUUCGAGCGUCAUUAUCCUCCCUCAAACCCCGGGUUUGGUGUUGGACCCAAGUUGUGUGAACAACUGGUCUCAAAGACAACGACGGCGUCCGUGGGACCCUCGGUGCAACGAGCUUUUAGGAGCACGCAUCGAGUUGCAAGGACCUUCCGGGCCGGUCUCCUUUUACUAUUUUACAAGGUUGACCUCGGAUCAGGUAGGAAUACCCGCUGAACUUAAGCAUAUCAAUAAGCGGAGGA